AACGAACGCUGGCGGCAGGCUUAACACAUGCAAGUCGAACGCCCCGCACGGGGAGUGGCAGACGGGUGAGUAACGCGUGGGAAUCUACCCAGAUCUACGGAACAACAGUUGGAAACGACUGCUAAUACCGUAUACGCCACUCGGGGGAAAGAUUUAUCGGGUUUGGAUGAGCCCGCGCUGGAUUAGCUAGUUGGGGGGGUAAUGGCCUACCAAGUCGACGAUCCAGAGCUGGUCUGAGAGGAUGAUCAGCCACACUGGGACUGAGACACGGCCAAGACUCCUACGGGAGGCAGCAUUGGGGAAUAUUGGACAAUGGGCGCAAGCCUGAUCCAGCCAUGCCGCGUGAGUGAUGAAGGCCUUAGGGUUGUAAAGCUCUUUCACCGAUGAAGAUAAUGACGGUAGUCGGAGAAGAAGCCCCGGCUAACUUCGUGCCAGCCGCCGCAGUAA
RNAcentral lists this ribosomal RNA (447 nucleotides) under uncultured bacterium. RNAcentral describes it as "partial 16S ribosomal RNA". It matches the Rfam family "Bacterial small subunit ribosomal RNA", at positions 29 to 523 of the family's 1533-position model. The record is from RNAcentral.